CUACGGGAGGCAGCAGUGGGGAAUAUUGGACAAUGGGGGCAACCCUGAUCCAGCAAUGCCGCGUGUGUGAAGAAGGUCUUCGGAUUGUAAAGCACUUUCACUAGGGAAGAUGAUGACGGUACCUAGAGAAGAAGCCCCGGCUAACUUCGUGCCAGCAGCCGCGGUAAUACGAAGGGGGCUAGCGUUGCUCGGAAUGACUGGGCGUAAAGGGCGCGUAGGCUGUUUGUACAGUCAGAUGUGAAAUCCCCGGGCUUAACCUGGGAACUGCAUUUGAUACGUGCAGACUAGAGUCCGAGAGAGGGUUGUGGAAUUCCCAGUGUAGAGGUGAAAUUCGUAGAUAUUGGGAAGAACACCGGUUGCGAAGGCGGCAACCUGGCUCGGAACUGACGCUGAGGCGCGAAAGCGUGGGGAGCGAACAGGAUUAGAUACCCUGGUAGUCCACGCUGUAAACGAUGUGUGCUGGAUGUUGGGUGANUUUUAUCAUUCAGUGUCGGAGCUAACGCGUUAAGCACCGCCUGGGGAGUACGGCCGCAAGGUUGAAACUCAAAGGAAUUGACGGGGGGCCGCACAAGCGGUG
This 577-nucleotide ribosomal RNA is filed under the name Acetobacteraceae bacterium CG93. RNAcentral's name for it is "bacterial SSU rRNA". It matches the Rfam family "Bacterial small subunit ribosomal RNA", at positions 339 to 934 of the family's 1533-position model. The record is from RNAcentral. Lineage: Bacteria; Pseudomonadati; Pseudomonadota; Alphaproteobacteria; Acetobacterales; Acetobacteraceae.